GUGUGAGAGAUGCCUGUGGAACCUUCCCUUGCUGUCCAUGCUGAGGUGCAGCACCCUGAAACAGGAAUCAAAGCAGGAAAGGUGCUGCUGGCUGCCAGUGCUUCAUGAGGGAGUUUUUGUUCCUCCUGGUGCAUGGGGGACUGACUCACAGCCUAUCUCAGGUGGCUGUCAGAUUGUCAGUGACCAUGAUAAAGCUUUCACUUGGCCCAGCUGGGGAGGCUUAGAAGAGAUUGCAAUGGGAACCAGCUGCUCACAUGUCUGUGAUGAGCAGGCUCACAGGAAGAUUUUUACUCAAUUUCUGUGUCUUGCAUUAUUUAACUUACCACCUGAUGUUCCUGCCAUACAGUAAAUCCAGAAAAUUACUAGCUGCUGAGAUUUUCACUCUGUGUGUCUGUUUGUGCAGAUACAUAAGUUUCUGGAGAAUUUAAAAUUACAUGAAGGAAUUUGAGCAUGACAUUUUAGCUGGUUUCUAUUCUGCGCCUGGUGCUCUGGCAGUGCCUAGAGCUUUCAAUUCUGUUACUGCAGUCUGCAAGGAUCUACUCUGCAUUACCCCAGCCUCUGCACAGACACGUCCUGCAGGCUGAUAAUAAUCAGGGAAUUGCUAACACGUUGGAAGCCAGCUGCAGGAUCUGGUUCUGGGAGGGAUCGAUCUUCAGAAGCUUUGCAAGUGUUAUCUGUCCUGUUAAAGGGAAGGGCUGGUAAUUCAACUUUUCAUUCUCCUGUGAGUCAUGGAGCAAAUAGUCCAGCAGAUGGAUCUGAGGUUCCUUCAGACUUUUUAUUUUCAGUAAGUGAGCACUAGAGGACAACAGAAAGUUGAUGCUGAAUUUGCCACUUCUUUGCACAAAACUGCUGCAGAGAGUACCUUGCAAAGUGGGUCCUUUCCUCUUUCCAUGGAAGUUCAUGAGGGUACCUAAAGACUAAGUCCAGAUGCCUGGAUCAGGUAUUUGGCACCACAAUGCUUACUGCAAAUAGAUAUAAGAGUGAAUCGAACAUUACUGAGCUGUUAACCUCAGAAUAUGAAACACCUCUGAAACCUCUUUGUGUGAAGAACACAUGGUCUCCCUCAAAACUGUGCAACCAGAAAAAUUAGGAAGUUCUGCAAAUGGACCUAUAAAUUAUUUAAAUAUAAAUGAUGGUAUCAAAGGAGAAAAAACAGGAAAAAAAAGGAGAAAAAAAUGGUAUGAACUGUGGGAGUGCCUGCUUGGUACUUGGAUCAUCAAAAGCAGUGAAUGAUAUCCUGAAAGGGCCUGUUCUUCUCUACCAGCCAUGGCUGAAGUGUGGAUACCAAAUGCAGAUGUUUUCCAUGGCUGACAUUAGACCCUGCAGGAUCUGCACAGAGAGGCUGCCCUCUCUCCAAGUCUCUGCCCAGGCUUGCUGAGCUGGUGCCCGUAGCAGCUGAGGGUUUGCUGAGGCUUGUCAUGUCCCCUCAUCCUUUUUGUCUGGGCUUGUUGCAACUGCUGUUUUCUGCCUGGCUUAGCAUCUUUAGUCUUUUCUUCCAUAAAAUGUGCCGAAACUAAGACAAGCAUCUAUGGCCCCUGGAGGAGCUGUAGCCAUGAACUUGGGCAAUUUUUAAUUCAGCUUUUCAAGGACAUAGCUGUUUACAAUUUCUAGCCAUGUUAACAACUAAAAUGCACUGGUUAGUAAAGAUUUUGACUAGUACUACAAAAAUGGACAAUGUCACCCAGUCAUGUAGAGUAACACUGGGUCAAAAAGCUAAAAAUAAGAGCUAUUUAUUCUUUCCAAGCUACCAAAAGUGACAAUGAGAAACACCUUCAUAAGCCUAUCAAAACACAGACUUGUACAACAUUAAUUUGUUGAUGGUACUGCACAAAGUGCAAUGCCCAACCAGCAGAAUUAAAAGCUAAUAACAAAUGUACUUUUCUUUGUUUCACUUUUUUACGCAGAGCCGUUCCUGCCUGCAGCCAGGAGACUCAAGGACCUGUAGUGUAAGAGAAUGAUGGGAAAAUGAAGUGGGAAUCAGGGCUGCAGAAAGAGUGAUCACAAGAGUGGAAAGCAGCGACCGGAGACUGGAUGCUCAUGGAGAGCUUGGCCCUGAGCUUGGAGCGGCUGCAGGAAACCCUCCCCUGAGCUGGAGCUGCUCUGAGCAGGGAGCUCACCCCAGGGCAGGGGACAGGCUGAAGUCAGGUUUAGUCAAAGUCUGUUGCUCAACUUCCUCUGCAGACACUGAAGAACACUGAGGAGCUCCAAAGAGCCCGUACAAUUUGGAAGAAGUGUUCAUGAAGGAAAUAUCUUGUCUUUGAAAGAGUCCAGAUGGCCAGGUGAAGUCUAUGGUUAAAGGAGAUGAACCUUAAUAGAAAACUGCUUUGUUUUAUAUUAACCAGAAGCAAGGCUGCAAUUUUAAAAGUGAAAAGAAUUAACACCAGCUUUGUCUUCACCCACUCAGAAAAAAGGGAGAGGUGAGAAGAGCUAGUGGAACUCAGAGCUUGCUACAGUUCUUGCCUCAGAAGAGGAAAUUCCUGAACUGAGGGGUGUUACUUUUUCUUCUUUCUUCACCUUUUUCUUACAGCUAAUUAUGGCCAUAAACAUAUAUGUCUGUAUACAUAUAUUCCAUUUUCACAAAUGACAUAACCUCUCCUUAGUGAAAUUGGGUAGUUUUCUAAAACUGAAAGACCAGUCCAUAAGUAUAGGUGCCUAAUUUAUAAAGAAUUUCUUAAACACCUGAGUGACAAGCAGAAGUUGGCUUUAGAUGCUAAGCUGACACCACAUACAAAAAGUUUGGUAUUUUGUUUGUGUACAGUGAUACAGCUGUGCUACUUAAGCAACCCUGUUAUACUGUUCUGAGCCCUUGCCUCCAGUAGGCAUAAAAACAUUUCUGUUCUGCAUUGGCCAAGAUUAUAGCUAUUAGAAUGUAGUGAAGACUGAAGGUGUAACUUAACUAAAUUCUGAUAAAUCAAGGUAAUCCCUAAACUCCUACUCAGCAUUCUUCUCAGUUUGUUUAAACAUGUGAAAACUAUAUCUUCACUGGGAUCCUCUGUUGUUUUACCUGGUAUGUGGUCAGAGCACACCUUUUCCCCCUAGCUUGGGCAUGCUAUUAUAUGUGGUGUAUCUAAGUGAGGAGUGGACUUUGCCUUUUGUGCCAACUAGGCUAAUAAGUAAACACUGAGAGAAACUCAUCUUGGUAAAUUUAAGACACAUUAGGAAUAUUCUGAUCUACCUACACUAUGCUUCUCUCAUGUCUUAAUUGGAGCCUACUAGCAGUGUAUUUAGAAUAUAUUUAAAUAUUCAACUCCAUGCAAGGGCUCCUACUACUGAAACGUUACAGCUGGCAUACUUAUUAAUAUUGUAUAUCCUCUUUUCCAUACAAAAGAGCCCUGAAAUGGUUUUAAGUGACAGAGCAAUGUGAAGAUGGAAGUGUGAGAAACUUGGAAAAUUUACUUCCUGUAUCAAAGUAACAGUGGAAAUACAAUUUUAAAGAUGGAGCAAUUGAGAUGAAUACCAUAAAAGGACUUGUUAAUAUGCUGUUGUAUUUAUAAUAAUACCCCUCAUUUUUAUUACAACACAGAAGUGCUGUUACAUCAGCUGUUCUAAUUUCAAAUCUUCUGCAAAAUGACCAAGCCUUUUUAUUACUUAAGUGAGAAAAUACAUAGUGCCUAGUCAAUAAGUCUGCUUACCUCAGACAAAAAACUGUGCAGAAAGCCUGUGCUGAUGAAGGUGCUGAGCAUCAGACAAGAGGACAAGUGUCUUCAGCUUGAGUGAAUCAAGGACAACAAGCAUCUGGCAGGAUUGACCCCUGCACAGAAAGGAAGCACUCAAGGUCAAUAUGUGGAGCUAUGUCACACUUCCUUUGAUAUUUUGAACCCACAAAUAUAGGAGUGGAUGUGUUGUUUUCUUCUGGGAGGGUUUUUUCCUUCUCUAAAAUGUCUAAUAUCUGCAAAUAUGUAUUUAAGAUGGGCUUCAUGCAAAAAGAAAACCAAAUAUCUUUAAAGACAAAUUGUUUAUGAUUUCAAAAUAGUUACCUUUCAGACUUGUUUUAGAGUCCCCUGUGCAAAGCUCAGAACCUGGAGGAUCAGACAUCUCCUCCCACACAUCCUCAUCAUGAAUUCUCAUCGCGCCGUGGCAGGGAAAGGCACAUAUUCUGACUGACUUCAAUAGAAAGACUUGUCUCCUGUAUCAAGUUAACAGUGAACCAUUGCUAGAGCAAGUGGAUUUGAGGACAACAUUUUGGCCUGUAGGCCAAAUUCCUCAAGACAGAAACAUUGGAGGACAGGCAAAAUGCCACUCACAUUUGUAGUGUGGUAUAAAUAAAUAAUAUUGGCCAAAAGUGAAACUACACUGAAAGUCAUCCUUGCUUUUAGUACAAACAAGGAGCUCCCUGUGCAGUAAGCAGAAUAAAUGAAGCCUGGUUUCCUAUGGAUUUGUGCCUCACAGUUGGAUUCUCCGGUGUCUAGUAAAGUGUAAGCCCCAUUUAAAAGUUUUUCUUGCAUUGCAGGUAUUUAGGCCAUCCAUCUCCCAUGGCGUGAGAUCAACUGAAGCCUGUUCCUAAAUGGAGCAUGCUAAGAAGUGCUUUUUCUUCUGAGCAGCAAUGUCUUUUUGGUAAACUUGUGGAAUUUUAUCUCUGACACCCUUUUCUCAGUGACUGAGUUUGGCCAACAGGUUCAAAACUUAUGGAUGCAGUCAGAUAGACAGUAAGCCUCACAAGCACAGGCACUAAAAGAUGCGUGUAGAUAGUAGUGAUGUUAUCUGAGAUAAGUCAGAUUGGUUGUCUGCCUCUUUGGUGCCAGACCAGAACUGGCCCAUAUAGAAGAAAUUCCCAGAAAACCAGAUGGGCUUCAGUGAGCUCCCACAACAAGUGGGUGAGUUCUUAACUUCUGGCAAAGCUGCCCUCCUGAUACACAUCAAAAUACAAGUAUGACUUUUGCACAUCCUUUCUGUAAAAUUUCCCAGUGGAGGGAGACUCUGAAUGUCUGCUCUCUGCUGUGCUAGGUACUCAUGGAAAGCCUGAAAUAUGUUAAUUCCCACUAAAAUCACAGAAGAUUAACUUUAAAGUGAGUUAUUUAACUCUCUUAUGACUAAGAUAAUUUUUUUCAAGCCAUUACUGCCCAGGAGUUUCUUUUGUGACAUUUCUAGCUGCAUUUUUCACUUUUAAAAUUGCAGCCUUGCUUAUGGCUUCUAAUGACCUAUUUUAGAAAUUUUAGCUUCUUUCAAACUGCAGGGGUAAAAAUUGAUUUCAGUGAAGAAGAAAGUUUUUUGGCUGACAAAGAUCAAGGAA
Passer domesticus (house sparrow) is the source of this 5230-nucleotide long non-coding RNA. RefSeq lists it as uncharacterized. Lineage: Eukaryota; Metazoa; Chordata; Aves; Passeriformes; Passeridae. The record is from RefSeq and is a predicted model, not a curated record. The transcript is spliced from 6 exons.